This 1239-nucleotide ribosomal RNA is filed under the name metagenome. RNAcentral describes it as "SSU rRNA". It matches the Rfam family "Eukaryotic small subunit ribosomal RNA", at positions 558 to 1772 of the family's 1831-position model. The record is from RNAcentral.
AGUCUGGUGCCAGCAGCCGCGGUAAUUCCAGCUCCAAUAGUGUAUAUUAAUGUUCCUGCAGUUAUUCGAUGCUCGUAGUUGGAUUUCUGGGGGCUGAUUCUGGACGGCGGCUAUGGCCGCCACCGGUUUCUUCCUUCAUCCACCUGUUAACGUUGUUCGAGAUUCAUUUCUCGGCUUCGGGCUCAGGUAUUUUACCCUUACUAUAUUCAUUUAUUUAUCUUCUUUUUGAGCAAAUUAUAGUGUUUCAGGCAGGCGUGCGCCGGAAUACUUUAGCAUGGAAUAAUCGAAUUGGACUGUGUUCCUUAUUUGUUGGUUUGAUGGGCACAGAAUGGUUAAUAGGGAUAGUAAUUUUCAGGGGAGGCAUUAGUAUUUAAUUUCCAGAGGUGAAAUUCUUUGAAAUAUUAAAGACUAACUUAUGCGAAAGCAUUUAUUUUGCCAAUAAUGUUUUCAUUAAUCAUUGAACGAAAGUUAGGGGAUCAAAGACGAUCAGAUACCGUCCUAGUCUUAACCAUAAACGUUGCCGACUAGGGAUCGGAGGGCGUGCACAUUCCGCCUUCGGCACCUUACGAGAAAUCAAAGUCUUUUGGGUUCUGGGGGUAGUAUGGUCGCAAGGCUGAAACUUAAAGGAAUUGACGGAAGGGCACCACCAGGAGUGGAGCUUGCGGCUCAAUUUGACUCAACACGGGAAAUCUUACCAGGUCCAGACAUAGCGAGGAUUGACAGAUUGAUAGCUCUUUCUUGAUUCUAUGGGUAUUUUUGGUGGUGCAUGGCCGUUCUUAGUUGGUGGAGUGAUUUGUCUGGUUAAUUCCGUUAAACGAACGAGACCUCAGCCUGCUAAAUAGUUACUUGUCUUUCUUUUACGAGACAUGUUAACUUCUUAGAGGGACGUUGUGUGCAACCACAAGGAAGUUGAGGCAAUAACAGGUCUGUGAUGCCCUUAGAUGUCCUGGGCCGCACGCGUGCUACACUGAUACGUACAACGAGGUAUAUGUGUUUAUACAUCGAUGCUGCUCCGAAAUAGACAAAGCUAAAUCUUCUAAAAUACGUAUCGUGCUGCGGAUAGAUCGUUGAAAUUAUGAAUCUUGAAGGUGGAAUUCCUAGUAAGCGCGGGUCAUCAACCCGCGUUGAUUACGUCCCUGCCCUUUGUACACACCGCCCAUCGCUCCUACCAAUUUCGAGUGGCUCGGUGAACCUCUUUGGACUGUCGAGCAAUCGCGAAAUUAGAGUGAACCUGGUCAC